AGAGUUUGAUCCUGGCUCAGGAUGAACGCUAGCGGCAGGCCUAACACAUGCAAGUCGAGGGGUAAGGUCUCUUCGGAGAUACACGACCGGCGCACGGGUGAGUAACGCGUAUGUAACCUACCUUCAACAGGGAGAUAGCUCUCGGAAACGGGAAUUAAUAUCCCAUAAUAUUUUUUUAUAGCAUUAUAGAAAGAUUAAAGCUCCGGCGGUUGAAGAUGGGCAUGCGUGACAUUAGCUAGUUGGUAAGGUAACGGCUUACCAAGGCUGCGAUGUCUAGGGGGUCUGAGAGGAUGAUCCCCCACACUGGUACUGAGACACGGACCAGACUCCUACGGGAGGCAGCAGUGAGGAAUAUUGGGCAAUGGACGCAAGUCUGACCCAGCCAUGCCGCGUGCAGGAUGAAUGCCCUAUGGGUUGUAAACUGCUUUUCUGCAGGAAGAAAUGUCCCGACGUGUCGGGAUUUGACGGUACUGCAGGAAUAAGCAUCGGCUAACUCCGUGCCAGCAGCCGCGGUAAUACGGAGGAUGCAAGCGUUAUCCGGAUUUAUUGGGUUUAAAGGGUGCGUAGGCGGGAGAUUAAGUCAGUGGUGAAAUCCUACAGCUUAACUGUAGAACUGCCAUUGAUACUGGUUUUCUUGAGUAUAGUUGAAGUGGCGGAAUGUGUAUUGUAGCGGUGAAAUGCUUAGAUAUUACACAGAACACCUAUUGCGAAGGCAGCUCACUAAACUAAUACUGACGCUGAGGCACGAAAGCGUGGGGAGCAAACAGGAUUAGAUACCCUGGUAGUCCACGCCGUAAACGUUGAUUACUCGAUGUGUGCGAUACACUGUACGCGUCUGAGCGAAAGCAUUAAGUAAUCCACCUGGGGAGUACGAUCGCAAGAUUGAAACUCAAAGGAAUUGACGGGGGCCCGCACAAGCGGAGGAACAUGUGGUUUAAUUCGAUGAUACGCGAGGAACCUUACCUGGGCUUAAAUGUAGAUUGAUUUCCACCGAAAGGUGGUUUCCCUUCGGGGCAAACUGCAAGGUGCUGCAUGGUUGUCGUCAGCUCGUGCCGUGAGGUGUCGGGUUAAGUCCCAUAACGAGCGCAACCCCUAUCGUUAGUUGCCAGCGAGUAAUGUCGGGGACUCUAGCGAAACUGCCGGUGUAAACCGUGAGGAAGGUGGGGAUGACGUCAAAUCAGCACGGCCCUUAUGUCCAGGGCUACACACGUGUUACAAUGGCCAGUACAGAGGGCAGCUACCUGGUGACAGGUUGCAAAUCUCGAAAACUGGUCUUAGUUCGGAUCGAAGUCUGCAACUCGACUUCGUGAAGCUGGAUUCGCUAGUAAUCGCGCAUCAGCCAUGGCGCGGUGAAUACGUUCCCGGGCCUUGUACACACCGCCCGUCAAGCCAUGGAAGUUGGGGGUGCCUGAAGUCCGUAACCGCAAGGAGCGGCCUAGGGUAAAACCAGUGACUGGGGCUAAGUCGUAACAAGGUAACCA
RNAcentral lists this ribosomal RNA (1481 nucleotides) under uncultured bacterium. Its description in RNAcentral is "bacterial SSU rRNA". It matches the Rfam family "Bacterial small subunit ribosomal RNA". The record is from RNAcentral.